AGCGAACGUUGGCGGCAGGCUUAACACAUGCAAGUCGAGCGCCCCGCAAGGGGAGCGGCAGACGGGUGAGUAACACGUGGGAACGUGCCUUUUGGUUCGGAACAACCCAGGGAAACUUGGGCUAAUACCGGAUAAGCCCUUACGGGGAAAGAUUUAUCGCCAAAAGAUCGGCCCGCGUCUGAUUAGCUAGUUGGUGGGGUAAUGGCCCACCAAGGCUACGAUCAGUAGCUGGUCUGAGAGGAUGAUCAGCCACAUUGGGUCUGAGACACGGCCCAAACUCCUACGGGAGGCAGCAGUGGGGAAUAUUGGACAAUGGGGGCAACCCUGAUCCAGCCAUGCCGCGUGAGUGAUGAAGGCCUUAGGGUUGUAAAGCUCUUUUAGCAGGGAAGAUAAUGACGGUACCUGCAGAAAAAGCCCCGGCUAACUUCGUGCCAGCCGCCGCCGUAA
Molecule: ribosomal RNA, 447 nt
Filed under: uncultured bacterium
Lineage: Bacteria
Description: partial 16S ribosomal RNA
Rfam family: Bacterial small subunit ribosomal RNA
Source: RNAcentral